Molecule: ribosomal RNA, 497 nt
Filed under: uncultured bacterium
Lineage: Bacteria
Description: partial 16S ribosomal RNA
Rfam family: Bacterial small subunit ribosomal RNA
Source: RNAcentral
GAUGAACGCUGGCGGCGUGCCUAAUACAUGCAAGUCGAGCGAACAGACGAGGAGCUUGCUUCUCUGACGUUAGCGGCGGACGGGUGAGUAACACGUGGAUAACCUACCUAUAAGACUGGGAUAACUUCGGGAAACCGGAGCUAAUACCGGAUAAUAUAUUGAACCGCAUGGUUCAAUAGUGAAAGACGGUCUUGCUGUCACUUAUAGAUGGAUCCGCGCUGCAUUAGCUAGUUGGUAAGGUAACGGCUUACCAAGGCAACGAUGCAUAGCCGACCUGAGAGGGUGAUCGGCCACACUGGAACUGAGACACGGUCCAGACUCCUACGGGAGGCAGCAGUAGGGAAUCUUCCGCAAUGGGCGAAAGCCUGACGGAGCAACGCCGCGUGAGUGAUGAAGGUCUUCGGAUCGUAAAACUCUGUUAUUAGGGAAGAACAAAUGUGUAAGUAACUAUGCACAUCUUGACGGUACCUAAUCAGAAAGCCACGGCUAACUACGUG